Molecule: unclassified non-coding RNA, 237 nt
Filed under: Hevea brasiliensis (rubber tree)
Lineage: Eukaryota; Viridiplantae; Streptophyta; Magnoliopsida; Malpighiales; Euphorbiaceae
Source: RNAcentral
UGAAUUAUUUCCCAAGGAUUUUGGUGGGCGUCCUAUUCCUAGGCCCAUAAUUGAAGUUCCUUAUCAUGGGUUUGACAAUCGUGUUGAAAAUGGUGUGUCAAAUGAGAACAAACAUUAGUCAGUCAUCUUAUUAUCUGUGGAGUAGGAGGCUAAUCCAAGUUUAGCAUUCUAUUUGUAAGUUAGUUAGCAUUAGAUUAGAACUGACAGAUGAAUUAAUUUGAUUUAUGAGCCCCUGGA